Molecule: ribosomal RNA, 398 nt
Filed under: unidentified microorganism
Description: bacterial SSU rRNA
Rfam family: Bacterial small subunit ribosomal RNA
Source: RNAcentral
GCGCAACCCCUAUCCUCUGUUACUAGCGGUUCGGGUGGAGAGACUCAAAGAAAAUCCCCGGGGACAACUCGAAGAAGGGUGGGAACAACUUCAAUCCUCCUUGCCCCUUACAACCUGGGUUCCCCCCUUCUUCCAUUGGGUAUACCAAAAGAAACCAACACUGUAGAGUGGACCGAACCCCUAAAAUGUGUCCUCAUUCCGAAUGGAGUGCUGCACUCCACCCCCUUAAAUUUGGAUUUCUUAUUAUCCUCGAAUCAAAUUGCCGCGGUAAUUCCUUCCCCGGGCCUUUUACCCACCGCCCGUCCCACCUUGGGAAUUUGUGAGCGCCCGAAUCCGUUGAUGUACCCUCGGGGAGGCGCUCGUCAAUUGUUAAACCAUGAAUGGGGUGAAUUCUUACA